CUCCAUAGUAGCUGGGAUUACGGGCGCCUGUCACCACGCCCGGCUAAUUUUUUUGUACUUUUAGUAGAGACGGGGUUUCGCCGUAUUAACCAGGAUGGUCUCGAUCUCCUGACCUCGUGAACCACCCGCGUCGGCCUCCCAAAGUGCUGGGAUUACAGGCGUGAGCCACCGCGCCCGGCCUUCCAGGGGCAUAUUUCUAUAAGUCCCUACUUGGAUGUAGCUAAACUUCUCCCCCAGUCUUGGAAGUUAGGACGGUCUAAAUCUGUGUCAAAGCUCAGAGCUGGCAAGAGCGAGUGUUCAUUACCUGAUGGUAUAUAUCCGCGUUUUGGAUACCCCCUCCUGCGCACGCGGGGGAUAAGUCACUGAAAAACCUAGUCUCACAGGAGUGAGGCUUAGUUCAUCGCUUCCUCAUUUCUCAAGCUCUGCAUAACCUGGCUUGGACAAACCUGAUAGGUUUCCACAAACGGCCUCAGCUGUGGAUGAGGAAGGCUUCGGGGGGAAAAAAAAGAUACUGAGGGGACAAGAUCGUUUUCAUUAGUUGAGCUAUUUUCCUUGUUUUACAAAUAGUGGGGAGCAAAGAAAGGAUGGGCUUCCCCUUUGCAGCUUGUUAUCUGGUGCCCGAGAGGCCAAAGUGAGGGGCAUUUGAGAUGUCGUCCAAGAAAAGUGCGAGGCGGGUUUUCCCAUAGAAGUCCUACCACAUGAAAUGAGAAGAACACAAUUCUCAGGAACAGCCAAGUUUGCCUUUCUCUGGUCCUUCAUUGUUGAAGCCACCUGCUUCCCCCUCCUGCUGCGGGGGCGGAGGCUGUAGGCGGAAGCGCUGCGCGGCGGGAAAGACAACGGGAACUGAGAACCGCUCUCGGCGCGGCGGCGGCUGCUAUGGCCUGCCGCAGCCGCGGCCACUCGGAAAGGGCGGGACUUCCCCGCAGGGCGGGGUGGGGCGGAGCGCUCUAUCAGUCCUCCCGGUCGCCCGACUGCGCAUGGCACGUUGCGUGCUCCCCUCCCAGCAACCGGUCUGGCGGCGGCGCGGCAGUAAAACUGAGGAGGCGGAGCCAAGACGGUCGGGGCUGCUUGCUAACUCCAGGAACAGGUUUAAGUUUUUGAAACUGAAGUAGGUCUACACAGUAGGAACUCAUGUCAUUUCUUGUAAGUAAACCAGAGCGAAUCAGGACCAAUGAUGCGAGCUCAGAGUCAAUAGCAUCCUUCUCUAAACAGGAGGUCAUGAGUAGCUUUCUGCCAGAGGGAGGGUGUUACGAGCUGCUCACUGUGAUAGGCAAAGGAUUUGAGGACCUGAUGACUGUGAAUCUAGCAAGGUACAAACCAACAGGAGAGUACGUGACUGUACGGAGGAUUAACCUAGAAGCUUGUUCCAAUGAGAUGGUAACAUUCUUGCAGGGCGAGCUGCAUGUCUCCAAACUCUUCAACCAUCCCAAUAUCGUGCCAUAUCGAGCCACUUUUAUUGCAGACAAUGAGCUGUGGGUUGUCACAUCAUUCAUGGCAUACGGUUCUGCAAAAGAUCUCAUCUGUACACACUUCAUGGAUGGCAUGAAUGAGCUGGCGAUUGCUUACAUCCUGCAGGGGGUGCUGAAGGCCCUCGACUACAUCCACCACAUGGGAUAUGUACACAGGAGUGUCAAAGCCAGCCACAUCCUGAUCUCUGUGGAUGGGAAGGUCUACCUGUCUGGUUUGCGCAGCAACCUCAGCAUGAUAAGCCACGGGCAGCGGCAGCGAGUGGUCCACGAUUUUCCCAAGUACAGUGUCAAGGUUCUGCCGUGGCUCAGCCCCGAGGUCCUCCAGCAGAAUCUCCAGGGUUAUGAUGCCAAGUCUGACAUCUACAGUGUGGGAAUCACAGCCUGUGAACUGGCCAACGGCCAUGUCCCCUUUAAGGAUAUGCCUGCCACCCAGGGUGAAGACUCUACAGUAAAAGGAAUUUGAUGCCUUGUAAAGGGAGAGCGGAAACUGUGAGCCCUGCUUUCCAGCCAUGGCGAAAGCGGGUACUUUUGUGCAACCCCUCUCCUUUCACGUUGGCCUGGCUAGGGCGGAGCUGCCACGCCAGUGACCAGCGUUUCUUUGGGAAAAUUGGACUUACUGCACUUCCACCUUUUCCACUCUUCAAAUGAUCACAUUUGCAUAUUGGGAACAGUGUAUUUGUGAAGAGACUCUCAGGCCUUCCAGGGACCCCCCCGCCCGCUACAGCCCAGGUCCUGGUUCUGUCCUCCCCAGAUGCUGCUAGAGAAACUGAACGGCACAGUGCCCUGCCUGUUGGAUACCAGCACCAUCCCCGCUGAGGAGCUGACCAUGAGCCCUUCGCGCUCAGUGGCCAACUCUGGCCUGAGUGACAGCCUGACCACCAGCACCCCCCGGCCCUCCAACGGCGACUCACCCUCCCACCCCUACCACCGAACCUUCUCCCCCCACUUCCACCACUUUGUGGAGCAGUGCCUUCAGCGCAACCCGGAUGCCAGGCCCAGUGCCAGCACCCUCCUGAACCACUCUUUCUUCAAGCAGAUCAAGCGACGUGCCUCAGAGGCUUUGCCCGAAUUGCUUCGUCCUGUCACCCCCAUCACCAAUUUUGAGGGCAGCCAUUCUCAGGACCACAGUGGAAUCUUUGGCCUGGUAACAAACCUGGAAGAGCUGGAGGUGGACGAUUGGGAGUUCUGAGCCUCUGCAAACUGUGCGCAUUCUCCAGCCAGGGAUGCAGAGGCCACCCAGAGGCCCUUCCUGAGGGCCGGCCACAUUCCCGCCCUCCUGGGCAGAUUGGGUAGAAAGGACAUUCUUCCAGGAAAGUUGACUGCUGACUGAUUGGGAAAGAAAAUCCUGGAGAGACACUUCACUGCUCCAAGGCUUUUGAGACACAAGGGAAUCUCAACAACCAGGGAUCAGGAGGGUCCAAAGCCGACAUUCCCAGUCCUGUGAGCUCAGGUGACCUCCUCCGCAGAAGAGAGAUGCUGCUCUGGCCCUGGGAGCUGAAUUCCAAGCCCAGGGUUUGACUCCUUAAACCCGAGGACCGCCACCUCUUCCCAGUGCUUGCGACCAGCCUCAUUCUAUUUAACUUUGCUCUCAGAUGCCUCAGAUGCUAUAGGUCAGUGAAAGGGCAAGUAGUAAGCUGCCUGCCUCCCUUCCCUCAGACCUCUCCCUCAUAAUUCCAGAGAAGGGCAUUUCUGUCUUUUUAAGCACAGACUAAGGCUGGAACAGUCCAUCCUUAUCCCUCUUCUAGCUUGGGCCCUGACACCUAAGUCUUUCCCACGGUUUAUGUGUGUGCCUCAUUCCUUUCCCACCAAGAAUCCAUCUUAGCGCCUCCUGCCAGCUGCCCUGGUGCUUUCUCCAAGGGCCAUCAGUGUGUUGCCUAGCUUGAGGGCUUAAGUCCUUAUGCUGAGUUAGUUUCGUUGUCAGAACAAAUUAAAAUUUUCAGAGACGCUG
This is an RNA transcript of Pan troglodytes (chimpanzee), 3417 nucleotides long. It is a transcript of the gene named STE20 related adaptor alpha, with no coding region annotated. The record is from RefSeq and is marked provisional. The transcript has 11 exons. Lineage: Eukaryota; Metazoa; Chordata; Mammalia; Primates; Hominidae.